This 2205-nucleotide long non-coding RNA is filed under the name Equus asinus (donkey). RNAcentral's name for it is "lncRNA (ENSEASG00005035942.1)". Lineage: Eukaryota; Metazoa; Chordata; Mammalia; Perissodactyla; Equidae. The record is from RNAcentral.
UAAACCCUUCACAAAGUUCAUGGCGCUGUCUUCCGCCCGGACCUGUCCGCAGUGGUUCCCCCGGAGACGAGCAGCACUGAACGCACACAAGACUGCAGGAGACCCGCGGCCCCAUCCAGCUCCGUACACGGCGACUCCAUCCUUUGGUCACUCAGGCCAAACCUCGAAGUCAUCGUGGAUCCGUCUCACUCACAUCCUACACGCAUCCCUUCGACGAGUCCUUCCAGCGUCAGCGCCAGAAGGUGUGGAGAGCCGGCAGCUUCCCCUGCACAGCAGCCCCACGCCGCCCACCCGCGCCCCUGCCCCGGCUCAUCGCGAGGCUCCCAGGGCUCUCCCCGCCUCCACGCCAGCCGCCCAUACACUAUUUUCCGCGCAGUAGAACAUAAAUCCAGCACAUCCCUCCUCUGCUCAGAACCCUCAGUGACACGCCGUCUCCCGGAGGACCGGAUCCCCGCGAUGGCCGCUCGGCGGCGCCCUCGGCUGCGCCCGUCCGCAGACGCCGCACGGCUCCCCUCAGGCUCUCCGAGAGAAGAUAUCUGCCCGUCUUUUUUUAAAAAAAGGAAAAGAAGGGAAAACAUCUUCAAAUGUUAUUUCCUCAGCAAAGCCUUCCCUGCCCGAGACGGAGGAGCGCCUCCCCGCCGCGGCGGCUCUUCCCGCGGCCGCCGCGGGCCUUCGCUGCUUCACGUGGGCUUUUCUCUCUUUCCGCUGGACCGUGAGCGCGCCGAGCGGUUUCAUUUCUCCCUCCGCCGCCGUGUGCCCGUGGCCCACACCAACGUGGGGCCUCAUUUCUUUUGAACAGAGCAAAAAUGGCCCCGGAAAGCCCCCGAAGCCCUGCGGGAAGCGCCGCCCGAGGUGCCGCCGGGCCUGCUGGCUCCUCGGCCUGCGCGUUUGCGUGGCGUUCCCUCCUCGGGGAACUGUGGGGCCUAAUCCCGCCCGCCCUGUUCCUGCCACAGUGCCUGUUUCUUCCCUUACGGUCUUUUGGAAUUAGCAGUGUAUACUGUAUUGUUCUGCUUACAUUUUAAUGCCUGUCGUCCCGCUGGAAGGCGGCCCGGGGGCCGGCGCAGGAAGCUCUCAGUGACCCCGAGGGGACCGCCGAGGACCGCGUGCGGAGGCGCUGGGAAGGCGGAAACCGCCGUUUGACGCGAACAAAGGAAAAUCUGGCUGUAGACGCUUCCAGCUUCUUAAGAAGUGACAUUUCUUAGGAAGGGAGAAUAGACCUUUCUCCUGCUACCUUCCAGCUCACGGAGACUGGUGUGCCAAAGAGUUUGAUCUUGUUCAAAGAAAAAUGAAUUUCCCAGCCUCUGAGGGGACCCUGUGCCGCUCACGGGCAGACGUCCUGAGACAACGGCCCUUUGUUCAGAGGAGAGCCUUAAUGAGGGCUGCCACCCCGGAGUAAAGCAGACUGGGCGCCUUAAUCAACCGAGAUCUACUUUCUCACCGUUGGAGAGGUUAGCAGUCCGAGAAAGAAAUGUGACUGCCCUGCAUUUCCACUCUGUCUCAUCUGUGAAUGGGAACUCAGACUUACCUGCAGCCCAGCUCUGACGGUGCAGUUGAGGGUAAGGCCCUGGGGGAAAGCAGUGAAACAAGAUGGAAGGAGCUCGGAUCCCUGCAUGACCAUGUGGAGUCAUCUCAUCCGUCCGGCUACUCACCUCAAGAGCGAAAUAAUGCGAGAAUGAAAUAAAGGCCUACAUCGGUCGUCUCUGUAUUCUGAAGGCUCUUCAUCACGGCAGUUCUGCUUUUACCCUCAUACAGACGGCAAGAUAGCUUCCAUGGCCCCAUGACUAGUGUAUUUUUUAAAAAACUCUUGUUAUGAAAACUUUAUAACUUAAAUAAAAAUAGCAAAAAUGGAAUAAUUAAUCCUAUGUAACCAUCUAGUGUUAGACUUCAUCAACUUUCACCACAUUUACUUCAUAUUUUUUUUGAAGAGGCUUGAAGAAGAGAAAUGCUUUAUUUUAAACUGUUUUCUGUACCGCUUGGCAUUGUAAAACUAUUUCAAAAGUUAUUUCAAUCUUCAGUAAAUGUGUGCUACACAUAAACUUCUUGCAUUGGUGAGGAAAUCAUAGAAAAAUGUGUUGUUUUUCCCUUGCCAAGUGGCAAUGGAUGGAGAAAAGAGAAGAAGCACAGGAAGUGGGAUGGGAAGUGGAUUGAGUUUAGUGGGACCAGGAAGUCUGAGCAAGGAGGGAGCACAGAGUCAAGCACCUUGGG